AACGUAGGAGACAAACGUUAUCCGGAGUUACUGGGCGUAAAGGGCGUGUAGGCGGUUUGUUAAGUCUGGCGUGAAAGCUCUCGGCUAAACCGGGAGAGGUCGUUGGAUACUGGCAAACUAGAGGACGGUAGAGGCGUGUGGAAUUCCGGGUGUAGUGGUGAAAUGCGUAGAGAUCCGGAGGAACACCAGUGGCGAAGGCGACACGCUGGGCCGUACCUGACGCUAAAGCGCGACAGCAUGGGGAGCAAACGGG
RNAcentral lists this ribosomal RNA (253 nucleotides) under uncultured bacterium. RNAcentral describes it as "partial 16S ribosomal RNA". It matches the Rfam family "Bacterial small subunit ribosomal RNA", at positions 524 to 776 of the family's 1533-position model. RNAcentral also lists the same sequence under 1 other name. The record is from RNAcentral.